AGCUGACUUGAAUGAUGUGGAAUGAAACACCACCAACAGUGAAGUCAAAAAGAGAGCCUUUUUUCAUGUUUAUUUUAAGAAACUUUCAUUAAAGUUUCUUAACUGUAAGAAAUUAAAGCUGGUCUGGGAUAGGCUCAGUGCAUGUGGGAUGCACCCAACACUGGUGGUGGUGGUAUGUGGGCUCUGAAUGUCGCAUCCGAAGGGAAGGGCUUCUUCUCCUCUCGAAUGCAUUUCUCAAUGGCCAUAUUGUGAAGAUCAUAAAUGUGUUGUUUUAUUAAGAUCAUCAGUCAAGGAAGGAUAUACUUGGAAGAAAAAUUGGAAAACUAGAGGUCAUUGAGCUACAUACUUGAAGAGAUGUGCUGCAGAUCUGUCAGUUUCACGGCCUGCUCCAGGAUGCAGAGAGCUGAGCUUGGACCUCCAGCAGAUGUCUAACAGCCAUCGCCACCAUUCUGAACGAAAGAGUGGGAGCAAAGGAGACUUGCUGCAGUUACCUGCAGGACCCUUCCACCACCUGAGAUGCAGGCAGAGCUAUACAAUCAAGGCCCACCCCAAAGACAAGAGCUGCACUGUAUUAUCGAAAUAUGCACUGGUUCUUCUCUCUGCUACCAUACAAGGCAACUCUGCAUUCCUGCUGCAUUUCCCAGGGUCUUGCCUCGUCCCAGUGUGCUCAGCGUACCACAGACGGCAUCUGCUGGGUGACUGCAGAACAUCAGGUGGCUGCUGCAAACCUUCCACCACGAAAAUGAAAAUCAAGACUUGAUUCAUGUGAACAACUCAUCUAGGGCAACCAAGAAAUAUUUUUUUAAUUUCAGUGAGAUGUUACUUUUUAUUUCAUUUUAUAUAAAUGAAAAGUUAAUAAAUAUAUGAAGCUUGA
Long non-coding RNA from Cygnus atratus (black swan), 874 nucleotides. RefSeq lists it as uncharacterized. Lineage: Eukaryota; Metazoa; Chordata; Aves; Anseriformes; Anatidae. The transcript is spliced from 4 exons. The record is from RefSeq and is a predicted model, not a curated record.